Molecule: ribosomal RNA, 378 nt
Filed under: Triticum aestivum (bread wheat)
Lineage: Eukaryota; Viridiplantae; Streptophyta; Magnoliopsida; Poales; Poaceae
Description: partial small subunit ribosomal RNA
Source: RNAcentral
AUGCAGGAAGGAGUUGGUCUACUUGUCACGGACGUGAUGCAUAUAUACAUGAUCAUGCCUAGAUAUUCUCAUAAUUAUUCGUUUUUCUAUCAAUUGCUCGACAGUAAUUUGUUCACCCACCAUAAUACUUAUGCUAUCUUGAGAGAAGCCACUAGUGAAACCUAUGGCCCCCGGGUCUAUUUUCCAUCAUACAAGUUUCCAAUCUAUUUUAUUUUACAAUCUUUACUUUCCAUCUAUAUCAUAAAAAUACCAACAAUAUUUAUCUUAUUAUUAUCAUCUCUAUCAGAUCUCACUAUUGCAAGUGGCCGUGAAGGGAUUGACAACCCCUUUAUCGCGUUGGUUGUGAGGUUCUUAUUUGUUUGUGUAGGUACGAGGUGA